GUGGGGAAUAUUGGGCAAUGGGGGAAACCCUGACCCAGCGACGCCGCGUGAGGGAAGAAGGCCUUAGGGUCGUAAACCUCUGUUGUGUGGGAAGAAGAGCGUGACGGUACCACACGAGGAAGUCCCGGCUAACUACGUGCCAGCAGCCGCGGUAAUACGUAGGGGACGAGCGUUGUCCGGAUUGACUGGGCGUAAAGGGCGCGUAGGCGGUCAUUUAAGUCAGCUGUGAAAUGGUUUGGCUUAACCGGAUCAUGCGGUUGAAACUGGAUGACUGGAGUGCUGGCGAGGCAAGGGGAAUUCCCAGUGUAGCGGUGAAAUGCGUAGAUAUUGGGAAGAACACCGGUGGCGAAGGCGACUUGCUGGCCAGCAACUGACGCUGAGGCGCGAAAGCCAGGGGAGCAAACGGGAUUAGAUACCCGGGUAGUCC
This 427-nucleotide ribosomal RNA is filed under the name uncultured bacterium. Its description in RNAcentral is "partial 16S ribosomal RNA". It matches the Rfam family "Bacterial small subunit ribosomal RNA", at positions 354 to 796 of the family's 1533-position model. The record is from RNAcentral.